CCUACGGGGUGCAGCAGUCGAGAAUCAUUCACAAUGGGGGAAACCCUGAUGGUGCGACGCCGCGUGGGGGAAUGAAGGUCUUCGGAUCGUAAACCUCUGUCAUGUGGGAGCAAAUUAAAAAGAUAGUACCACAAGAGGAAGAGACGGCUAACUCUGUGCCAGCAGCCGCGGUAAUACAGAGGUCUCAAGCGUUGUUCGGAAUCACUGGGCGUAAAGCGUGCGUAGGCUGUUUCGUAAGUCGUGUGUGAAAGGCGCGGGCUCAACCCGCGGACUGCACAUGAUACUGGGAGACUAGAGUAAUAGAGGUGGAACCGGAAUUCUCGGUGUAGCAGUGAAAUGCGUAGAUAUCGAGAGGAACACUCGUGGCGAAGGCAGGUUCCUGGACAUUAACUGACGCUGAGGCACGAAGGCCAGGGUAGCGAAAGGGAUUAGAUACCCCUGUAGUC
Molecule: ribosomal RNA, 446 nt
Filed under: uncultured bacterium
Lineage: Bacteria
Description: partial 16S ribosomal RNA
Rfam family: Bacterial small subunit ribosomal RNA
Source: RNAcentral